RNAcentral lists this ribosomal RNA (376 nucleotides) under uncultured bacterium. RNAcentral describes it as "bacterial SSU rRNA". It matches the Rfam family "Bacterial small subunit ribosomal RNA", at positions 521 to 896 of the family's 1533-position model. The record is from RNAcentral.
UAAAACGUAGGACGCAAGCGUUAUCCGGAUUUACUGGGCGUAAAGCGCGUGUAGGCGGUAUAGCAAGUCGGACGUGAAAGCUCCCGGCUCAACUGGGAGAGGUCGUUCGAAACUACUAUACUUGAGGACGGCAGAGGAGAGUGGAAUUCCGGGUGUAGUGGUGAAAUGCGUAGAUAUCCGGAGGAACACCAGUGGCGAAGGCGGCUCUCUGGGCCGAUCCUGACGCUAAGACGCGAAAGCUAGGGUAGCAAACGGGAUUAGAAACCCCGGUAGUCCUAGCCGUAAACGAUGGAGACUAGGUGUAGGGAGUCAGAACCUCUCUGUGCCGUAGCUAACGCAUUAAGUCUCCCGCCUGGGGAGUACGGCCGCAAGGCUA